ACCUGUUUUAUAUAAUUUGUAUCUCUGCUUUAUAACUACAUUUGAUAUUUGGGGUUAUAUUGCAUGCAGGCAAGCAACCCUGACAAGGUACGAAGUGAAUAUAAAUCAUUCUCAGGGUAAAGUGCUGCCUAGUGUAAGAGUUUCAGAUCCAGGUCUUCUACUUAAACCUGACGAACCAAAUUUGAUUAUAAUGGCAAAACCAGCAGGUGACCCUAGUGAGAGAGAUCAGCAUGCAGGGAUGGAUGAGGACUAAUUUUGUGUGUAUGACAAUUGACUAUCUUUGCUUGUAUUGCUCUAUGUUAGGGAUCUUUUGUUCCAUUUUAGUAACAAUUUUGUUUAGGAGAAAAAGAAACAUAUUGCAGUUCAUGCUUUGUAAAUGCCACUCUUCUGUUAUGAUGGACACGUGGUAUGCCCUUGUUGGGUAGGUUUUGGAUUGAAACCAUGGUCGAGUGCUUGAGCCAUGUUUAGUGUGAA
Molecule: long non-coding RNA, 474 nt
Organism: Prunus dulcis (almond)
Lineage: Eukaryota; Viridiplantae; Streptophyta; Magnoliopsida; Rosales; Rosaceae
Exons: 2
Source: RefSeq, a predicted model, not a curated record